RNAcentral lists this ribosomal RNA (450 nucleotides) under uncultured Glomeromycotina. RNAcentral's name for it is "SSU rRNA". It matches the Rfam family "Eukaryotic small subunit ribosomal RNA", at positions 569 to 1025 of the family's 1831-position model. Lineage: Eukaryota; Fungi; Glomeromycota. The record is from RNAcentral.
AGCAGCCGCGGUAAUUCCAGCUCCAAUAGCGUAUAUUAAAGUUGUUGCAGUUAAAAAGCUCGUAGUUGAAUUUCGAGAUCAAUUUGUUGGUCGUGCCUCGGUACGUACUGGCAAUUUUGAUUUCUCCCUUCUGAAGAACCAUGAUGUCAUUAAUUUGGUGUCAUGGGGAAUCAGGACUGUUACUUUGAAAAAUUAGAGUGUUUAAAGCAGGCUUGCGCUUGAAUACAUUAGCAUGGAAUAAUGAAAUAGGACGUUUGAUUCUAUUUUGUUGGUUUCUAGGAUCGACGUAAUGAUUAAUAGGGAUAGUUGGGGGCAUUAGUAUUCAAUUGUCAGAGGUGAAAUUCUUGGAUUUAUUGAAGACUAACUACUGCGAAAGCAUUUGCCAAGGAUGUUUUCAUUAAUCAAGAACGAAAGUUAGGGGAUCGAAGACGAUCAGAUACCGUCGUAGUC